CCGUUUGUUCCCUGUUGGACCCCUGAGGGUUUGGUAUGAACCCUGUAAUUUGACGAUCAUCUGCUCUUACAAUGCAGAUGUUAAUUGCACAUAACACUAGGGACUUUAAUAUCAGAGCAAAGCCCAACGAGAGGGAACUGACCCACCAUAUUAGUAUCAUUUGUCUUCAUGAUGCAACUAAAUAAGCACAAUGGUCAAAAUCAAAUGAUGCAGAGGCCCAACUGUCCUUAAGAAUCAGAGAAAUACACGAGGUGAGUUUCUUCAUAUCUCUAGAGCAAAAGAUAUGAAGUCCAAAUUCCAGUGGCCCAGCAGGGGAAGGAUGGCAUCCAAAGGAAGGUGUGGGCAGUGUCAGCACGUGGGGAACACCACAGGGGUCACUGCCAUUUCCGCCUCCCUUGAAUGUCUUAGCAAAUACAGCAAAGUUCUGCCUUGGUACACAGACAGGACUUGAAGUAUCUGUUCUUUCAUUCAUUCAUUCAACAUUGCAUAUUGGUCUUGGGGCGAAAUAAAAGAAAGAUGAAGUUCUCGAUCUAGCGAUGCUUUCAGUUUGGUGGGGAAAACAGACACGUAAACAAGUAAACACAUAAAACAGGUGGUAACCAUUAACAUAGAUACGAUGCGCUAUGGGAAAACUGAGGCGAGAAAUCAGUUGUUUUGACUGCGGGCCUCUGGGAAGGUAUUUUCCAGACGAUGACAGCUGCACUGGGCCUUCCAGGUGAGUAAAAAAGCCACCGUGUAAAAGCUUUUGAAUUUUGUUCUUGGUUUAUGACGAUAGGAAAUGAAGAGGUGAAAUGGCUUUGCUUCUUCUAAUCUGCAGUGGGCAUCCUAAGUCCUCUCUAGGGGUGACAGGCUCCAGGGAGAGUUUUUGGCACCAGGACCGUUUUGCGGGAGGCAAUUUUUCCACAGACCAGCGGGCAGCAGGGGGGAGCGGGGAGGAUGGUUUCAGGAUGAUCCAAGCGCAGUACAUUCAAGCUCACCUCCUGCUGUGCGGCCCGGUUCCUAACAGGCCAGGAUCAGUACUGGUCAAUGGCCUGGGGGUCUGGGACCCCUGCUGUACAGCACCUUUUCUGUGUCUGAUUUUUGAAAGCCUAGAGUGCUCCACAGCACAAGAUACAAUGAGAGGUGGGAAAAUUCCUUUGAAAAACAGUGUGUGACCCACAUGAAACGUGCAACUCCAUAGAGAGUUAAGAAAAGUGAAUCUGAUUUGAAUGAAUCACACAGGCACCUCUACAUGGUAAACACCUGCCACGUGCCCCAACCUUUUAUGCCUUCAAUGGCAUUUUUCUCAUGAUCUCAUUUAAUUUUCUCAGCCACCCCAAGAAGGGCUAGUUCUGUUUUGAUGAGGAAGAAGCCUGGACCUGCUAAACCUUUACCCAAAACUGGAAUAAAUGACCAGGUUUCCAGAUUCCCCCCACCCCCCGCUACUGACCGAGCACUCAUGGACGUGCCCCUUUGCAAGCCUGGGUCCAGUGAUUUGGACUGCCAAACCCUUUUCAGAGAAGCAGGAGAGGCAGCCUUCAUUUCUGGCCACGUAACCCAAUAGGAUGCCAGAAUCUGUGUCCAGCAGCAAUUCUGCACUUCAGGGGGAGUUCUCCUGGUAAACUAACUCCUUUCCAAAGGGCACGCCUCCUCAGUUCAGCCCUCCCACAGCUCUGUCACAUGCUUUAAGGAGACAGAAUUUACGUUCCUGUGUCUAUGGUGUGAGGCACUUAGAAAUGAAAGGGUUAGGAAUGUCCAGCCUGCCUCAGCCUCGAGGUUUACGAAAAACUUCAUUCUGUUCAGUUUAUAAACUAUGGAGCUUCCGGAGCCACGCUACUCCCUGGGUAGCCUGGAUAAACGCUGAGGAUGCUGGCUUGGAAGACACGCGUUUGGAAUGCUUGGCUUUCAUGGUUACAUAGGAAGAAUUACAGGUUCUUUUUUAAAAGGGGGAGUAGCAGGAAGGAAGAGCAUCCGAGAGCAACACGAUCUAUAUCACAACUUGCAUCCAAGGCUCCUUAACUGCAGUGUCUCAUCUU
Molecule: long non-coding RNA, 2015 nt
Organism: Phyllostomus discolor (pale spear-nosed bat)
Lineage: Eukaryota; Metazoa; Chordata; Mammalia; Chiroptera; Phyllostomidae
Exons: 2
Source: RefSeq, a predicted model, not a curated record